This 75-nucleotide transfer RNA is filed under the name Verrucomicrobiaceae bacterium. Its description in RNAcentral is "tRNA-Gln". It matches the Rfam family "tRNA". From Rfam's summary of the family: Transfer RNA (tRNA) molecules are approximately 80 nucleotides in length. Their secondary structure includes four short double-helical elements and three loops (D, anti-codon, and T loops). The record is from RNAcentral. Lineage: Bacteria; Pseudomonadati; Verrucomicrobiota; Verrucomicrobiia; Verrucomicrobiales; Verrucomicrobiaceae.
AGCCCCGUAGCUCAACCAGCAGAGCUCCCGACUUUGACUCGGAAGGUGGCGGUGCGAAUCCGCCCGGGGCCGCCA